Molecule: transfer RNA, 69 nt
Filed under: Ictidomys tridecemlineatus (thirteen-lined ground squirrel)
Lineage: Eukaryota; Metazoa; Chordata; Mammalia; Rodentia; Sciuridae
Also listed under: 1 other name
Description: Spermophilus tridecemlineatus (thirteen-lined ground squirrel) tRNA
Rfam family: tRNA
About the family: Transfer RNA (tRNA) molecules are approximately 80 nucleotides in length. Their secondary structure includes four short double-helical elements and three loops (D, anti-codon, and T loops).
Source: Rfam by way of RNAcentral
GGGGUUGUAACUCAGUGGUAGAGUGCUAGCCUAACAUGUGUGAGGCACUGGGUUCGAUUCUCAGCACCA